Long non-coding RNA from Triticum dicoccoides, 944 nucleotides. RefSeq lists it as uncharacterized. Lineage: Eukaryota; Viridiplantae; Streptophyta; Magnoliopsida; Poales; Poaceae. The record is from RefSeq and is a predicted model, not a curated record. The transcript has 3 exons.
UUCCCUGCCGACAGUCGACCAUGGGGAGCGGAGGCAUCAAGUGGAUCGGCUACCUCCCCAAGGCGUCGUCGCGGCUUCCGGCGGGAGGUCCGUCGGUGUCCACUGCCUUGUCUCACCGUAGUCCGCAGUUAUGGCGCCGCGCUCGUCCCAGAUUUCGGCUUCUCCCGCCGCAAGACCGGCUCCUCCUCUUGAUUCGUCCUCGCGCAAUGUGAUGCGGGCAGCCAUGGUGGAGCUCGGGUCGGGAUAGUGGAGGUGGUGGUGGCUGUUGUGCCGCCACUGAAGACCACGGGCGGUGGCAGGGCAGAGGCCGCAGCGAGCGACGAGGGCGGCCGCCAUCCAGCGGGUCUUCGCGGGCCCGACACCGGCCAUGCGGCUGCCGACCUAGCCUACUAGCGCCAUGGAUGAUGCCAGAAAGACGGUUCAACUAAUUGAACAAACUACUCCUUAGAUCGAUGCAUGCAAAGUCGUUGGUUUGGCUCAUCCUCAUCCAGGUGACAGUGGCGCUCCAUUACCAUAGUGAUCGACUAAUGGUCUGUUUGUCAGGAAGAAUUAACAAUCUACAAUCGUGAAGGCAUUUUUGAUCUUUAUCAGCAGGGAAAAUUAAUCAGUACAUUCUACAAGGAAAAGAACAACGAAAAAGAGAUCAUGAAGGCUAUACUUUUGGUCCCUGAGAUUCAUCACCGUCCUCAUGGAUUCGAGGAUCGAUGCUUGAAGAAGCCAUGGGGAACAAGAUGCCCCUUUCCUUCAGCCCCUAGGUCGCCUUGCUUUUGCCCGAUUGAUGCACCUUAGCCUUGUGAAUUUCCUUCUUCUGCCUGAUAUUGAAUUUGUUUGACGUGCUUCUGCCAAGGAUCUUGUUCCUGAUUUAUGCAGGCGAUGGUGAGAUUUGCGUGUUUGUGUGUUUUCGAUUGGAUUAACAAAGGUCUAAGAGGUUUGGCGCCCAAACC